RNAcentral lists this ribosomal RNA (253 nucleotides) under uncultured bacterium. RNAcentral describes it as "partial 16S ribosomal RNA". It matches the Rfam family "Bacterial small subunit ribosomal RNA", at positions 524 to 776 of the family's 1533-position model. The record is from RNAcentral.
UACGGAGGGGACUAGCGUUGUUCGGAAUUACUGGGCGUAAAGCGCACGUAGGCGGAUUUGUAAGUCAGGGGUGAAAUCCCGGGGCUCAACCUCGGAACUGCCUUUGAUACUGCAAAUCUCGAGUCCGGAAGAGGUGAGUGGAAUUCCUAGUGUAGAGGUGAAAUUCGUAGAUAUUAGGAAGAACACCAGUGGCGAAGGCGGCUCACUGGUCCGGUACUGACGCUGAGGUGCGAGAGCGUGGGGAGCAAACAGG